UGAUUCCCUCAGUAACGGCGAGUGAAGCGGGAAGAGCUCAUUCUGUGAAUCUGUAUGCUCUUUUGGUAUACCGAGUUGUAGAAUAUAGAAGCACAUCAGUGCGAAUUCCGGUCUAAGUCUCUUGGAAAAGAGCAGCUAAGAGGGUGAGACUCCCGUUCUUGGCUGGAAUUCAAACUUUAGCAUGUGGUUUCGACGAGUCGAGUUGCUUGGGAUUGCAGCUCAAAGUUGGUGGUAAAUUCCAUCUAAAGCUAAAUAUCGGUGGGAGACCGAUAGCGUACAAGUACCGUGAGGGAAAGAUGCAAAGAACUUUGAAAAAAGAGUUAAAGAGUACCUGAAAUUGCUGAAAUGGAAGCGAAGGAAACCAGUGCCGUUCUGUAUCAUUCUUCCGUCCUUGCUUGCGAGGGUGGCGCUGUGAUGCAGGAUAGGCCAGCGUGGGUUUGAGCCGAAGGAAGCAGCUCUUCAGGAGGCAGCGCAAUUUCUGUGCGAUUACUGUUGAGCUUUGCUUCGGCUUGGACUGAGGCUAGUCACUUGUGCUCGUGACGCUGGCGAAAUGGUUUUCUUUACCCCGUCUUGAAACACGGACCAAGGAGUCUAACAUAUGUGCGAGUAUAUGAGUGACAAACUCACAUGCGAAAUGAAAGUAACAGUGGUUGGACCUUCUGGGCACAAUCCGCCGGCCACAAUCCUUCGGGAGAAAGGUCUGAGUGUGAGCAUACAUGUUGGGACCCGAAAGAUGGUGAACUAUGCCUGAAUAGGGUGAAGCCG
Molecule: ribosomal RNA, 765 nt
Filed under: Chaetoceros socialis
Lineage: Eukaryota; Bacillariophyta; Thalassiosirophyceae; Chaetocerotales; Chaetocerotaceae
Description: eukaryotic LSU rRNA
Rfam family: Eukaryotic large subunit ribosomal RNA
Source: RNAcentral